AUGCCAAACGCGAUCCCGGCCUUCUUCCGCGCCUCGCCGGCCGCGGCGUCGGGCUCCGGCGCCGGGGCGGGGCCCAGCCUCGCCACCUCCGUCUACGAGACCCGCCUCGGCCUUGCGGCGCUCUCCUGGUCGCGCGCCGCGUUCGGCCUCAGCCUCCGGGCCGUGCUCCGCGUCGGGGCGCUCGCCUCUUCAUCCUCGGCCUCCGACUACGGCUGCUACGACGACGGCCCGGAGUUCGACGAGGAGGCCACCAUCGCCGUGCGCGUCCGGCCCUGGCUCUUCUGGCGGCGCCGGGGGUCCAAGCGUUUCCACGUGCACGACCGCCGGAUCGACCUGGCCUGGGACCUCACCCGCGCGCGGUUCGCCUCCCCCGGCUCGCCCGAGCCGUCGUCCGGGUAUUUCGUCGCCGUCGUGGUCGACGGCGAGAUGGCGGUCGUGGCCGGGGACAUGACGGAGGAGGCGUACCGGAAGACGAAGGCCCAGCGGCCGACGGGCCCCGGUCAUGUCCUCAUCUCCCGGCGCGAGCACGUCUCCAUGCGCGACGGAGGGCAUGGCCGCGGGCACAAGACCUGCGUCAAAGUCCGCGGCAAGGAGCGGGAGAUCUCGCUGGAUCUCGUCUCGCGCGGGCACGGCAAGGAUAGGGAAAUGGACAAGGAGAAGGACAAGGCCGAGGUCGGCCUGUCGGUCUCCGUGGACGGCGAGCGCGUCCUCCACAUCCGCCGCCUGCGCUGGAAGUUCCGCGGGAGCGAGAAGGUUGACCUCGGCGGCGGCGACCGGGUCCAGGUCUCCUGGGACCUCCACAACUGGCUCUUCUCCGCGCGCGAGCCGGCCCUCACAGACGCCGCCUCCGUCCUCGCCGCGGCGUCCCCGCCCGCGCACGCCGUGUUCGUCUUCCGAUUUGAGCUCGGCGACACCGCCGGCGGCGAAGAGCGCGACUCCGCAGAGGCCAAGGAGAAGGAGCUGCUCGACAAGGCAAGAAGAGGCGGCGCCGGCGUCUUGUCAGGCUACCUAGGGAGAUGGGGCAGAGGGGACUGGAGCGAGACCAGCAGCAAUGGGGAGAACCGGAGGAAGAGGGGGCAGGCGCGGAGGCUGGCCAAGGCAAGCUCAUCGUCGUCGGCAUCCAUUGCGUCCUCCUCGGCCUCGUGGGCGAGCAGCUCGACGGUCAUGGACUGGGCCAGCCCCGAGGAGGCCGAGCUGCACCGCGGCGAUGGCUUCUCGCUCCUCGUCUACGCCUGGAAGAGCUAG
Molecule: ribosomal RNA, 1245 nt
Filed under: Triticum aestivum (bread wheat)
Lineage: Eukaryota; Viridiplantae; Streptophyta; Magnoliopsida; Poales; Poaceae
Description: partial small subunit ribosomal RNA
Source: RNAcentral